Molecule: long non-coding RNA, 876 nt
Organism: Myotis davidii
Lineage: Eukaryota; Metazoa; Chordata; Mammalia; Chiroptera; Vespertilionidae
Exons: 2
Source: RefSeq, a predicted model, not a curated record
GAGCCAAACCGGUUAGGGCCGUUUCCUUUAUUUUAUGCCACCUUCUGCAGCCACCGUGACCUCCUGUAUUUCACACUGCCCUUCUCAGGCCUGCACCUGCUGCUUCUGCCCUGGACUGUGGCAUAGUCUUCGGCCCUGCCCCUUUUUACUAAGCAGUGGCUGUGCCAUUCCUUAUAGAUAAUUUGAACUUCAACCCACUGACUUUUACAGAAGUCUCGGAGGCCCACCCUUCCCAGGGAGCUGACCCGUUGGGGAUGGCUGGGAUGGCAGCCAGAAAUCUGCAGGCUGGGGCAGACAGGUUCCUCCGUGAUUCCAAUACAUGUGGCCUUCGGUGGUCAAGGCAAGUCCAGAUGCUUUAGGAACACAGAAGUGGAUGAGAGGAGGCUUCCAGCGGAAGGGGAUGAGAUCCAUGUUGAAGGCUGUUUCUUAUUUUUCUCCUUCCAGCCUCUCCUGGCAUCCUCUGCCUGAGCAGACCAGCCUUCCAAGGCUGGUAUUAAGCGUCAAUGCUCUCCAUUUCACUGCAAUCUACCUUUCCAUUUGUAUUUCUUACUGCCCUUCACAUCCCCUUCAUGCAGCAGGCUGAGUGGACCAUUUGCAUCUACACUUGCCUCCGUUUACCUAGGACUUAGGAAAGAAUAUUCACAUACCUAGCCCACCUGACAUCCAUGACCCAGACCACCGGACAUCUGGGAGAUCAUCAUCUUAGCUCAAUCUAGAAGCAAAGAAUGCAUGACAGAAUCUUCUUAAUAAUGUAAUUUUUCGUGUAAGAACUCUUAUCUUUUCUUUCUUUUUUUGAAACACUCAGGCUUUUGCCUAGUUGUGUUUCCAUUUUACAAGCCCUAAGACCCUUGAGUAAAAAUCUUUAUUUAUUUCUAA